CGAGUAAGCCAGACAAUCGCUGCUGUGUUUCACACAGGAGAGGAAAGUCCGAGCUCCGUAGGGCAGGGUGCUGGGUAACUCCCAGUCAGGGUGACUUGAAGGAAAGUGCAACAGAGAUAUACCGCCGCAGAUUUAAAUAUUAGUUUAAUUACUAGUAUUUGUAUGCGGCAAGGAUGGAAAGGCGAGGUAAGAGCUCACCAGCGCAUUGGCGACUUUGCGGCUAUGUAAACCCCACUUGGAGCAAGAUCGAAUAGGGAAGUAGGAAAUCACUUAUGUGUUUUCCAGGGGCUGCCCGCCCCGCUUCCGGGUAGAAUCGCUUGAACUUACUGGCAACAGUAGGUCUAGAUAGAUGAUUGUCAAAAACAGAACUCGGCUUACAGACUUACUCACAUA
Molecule: RNase P RNA, 393 nt
Filed under: Clostridium sp. JN-9
Lineage: Bacteria; Bacillati; Bacillota; Clostridia; Eubacteriales; Clostridiaceae
Description: Bacterial RNase P class A
Rfam family: Bacterial RNase P class A
About the family: Ribonuclease P (RNase P) is a ubiquitous endoribonuclease, found in archaea, bacteria and eukarya as well as chloroplasts and mitochondria.
Source: Rfam by way of RNAcentral